RNAcentral lists this ribosomal RNA (165 nucleotides) under Myxotrichaceae sp. RNAcentral's name for it is "partial large subunit ribosomal RNA". It matches the Rfam family "Eukaryotic large subunit ribosomal RNA", at positions 99 to 261 of the family's 3401-position model. The record is from RNAcentral. Lineage: Eukaryota; Fungi; Ascomycota; Leotiomycetes; Myxotrichaceae.
CGGCAUCAGCUCAAAUUUGGAAUCUGGCUUCUUUGGAGCCCGAGUUGUAAUUUGUAGAGGACGUUUCGGGUGUGGCCCCGGUCUAAGUUCCUUGGAACAGGACGUCACAGAGGGUGAGAAUCCCGUACGUGCCCGGUGGCCGCCCCCGUGUGAAGCUCCUUCGAC